AUGUGUGGCGCCCCAGACUCUUGGAAACACUCCCUAAUCAACUGUACAACCUCAAGGUGCACCUGGGCACUGGUCGAUGACGAGCUAGCCAGUCAACUAGUGAACACAAAUAAGACCAAGGCAAAACAGUGGCUGUUUACACUAAUUGAUUCCUUAUCGCAUGAUCAAUUCAUAAAGGUGGCGGUCACACUCUGGGCAAUUUGGACAGCUAGACACAAAGCCAUUCAUGAGCAUAUCUUUCAAACCCCUCGAGCUACUCAUUUGUUUGUAGAAAGAUUCAUACAGGAGCUUUCGGUCCUGUCCGAGAAUGGAGCCACCACCAUCAUAGAAGGGGAUGCAGCCAUACGCCAGAAGGCCCCGCCGAUGGGUUACGCGAAGAUUCAUGUCGAUGCCGGAGUCAGAGCGGGCAGGGGAGGCUCGGCUGCGGCUAUUUGCCGAGAUCACAAUGGUGCUUAUCUGGGAAGCUCAGCGCUGGUAAUAGCCGGUCUGGAUGAUCCAUUAAUAUUGGAGACUAUCGCAUGUAGAGAGGCUCUUGCCCUAGCGGAAGACCUAAACCUAUGUAAUGUGCUCAUUGCGUCUGACUCCAAGCAGGCUAUACUGGACAUCAACAAUGCUAGCGUGGGAAAGAAUGGUUCAAUAGUCAGGGAGAUUAUUGCCCGGUCAAAUGAUUUUCUUUGUAAAUUUACGUUUGAAGGUCGUGCAGCCAAUAAGGAAGCACAUAGCUUAGCUAGAUUUGCUAUUGGUAGAGGGACGGGGAGGCAUACUUGGCUAGGCCAGCCCCACAACCCUAAUUGUAUCCCACUUUCUGUGGACUAUGAUAAAUAA
This 825-nucleotide ribosomal RNA is filed under the name Triticum aestivum (bread wheat). Its description in RNAcentral is "partial small subunit ribosomal RNA". Lineage: Eukaryota; Viridiplantae; Streptophyta; Magnoliopsida; Poales; Poaceae. The record is from RNAcentral.